Long non-coding RNA from Paramisgurnus dabryanus, 619 nucleotides. RefSeq lists it as uncharacterized. The record is from RefSeq and is a predicted model, not a curated record. NCBI's taxonomy places the organism in Eukaryota, Metazoa, Chordata, Actinopteri, Cypriniformes, Cobitidae.
UCAGUAUGUGUGUGUGUGUGUUUGUGCAAACAGACCUGAAUUUUGAGCCUGUAUCAGACGAAAAUACAGAUUUUGAGGAAUAAUCAAUUAUUCAGAGAUUGUAAAUGAAGGUUUCUGCAUGGUUUUUUGCCCCCUGGCCAUAAUGGAUUCAACAGCCUACCCAGGGUGGAUCCUGCUUGGUCAGCAUGACACACCCAGAUCAGAUUCACAGUUUGUGGAAGAGGUCAACUUAUAUUGGAUUCUGUACACUGAAAAAAAUGAUUCAUUCAAUUUAAUCAAUUUUUUUAAGGGAGAGGUGUGUUUGCACUUAAACACAUUGAAUCAUCCACAUUUGUUGUAGAAUAUCGUGGAAUACUGUGCCAAAGUAAAUAUGUUGAUGACAUUAAAGGCAACUACUUGUUCGAUUUCAUAUGGAAUGGAGCACAUUAUUGCAUAGAUGCUUCAAAAGAGGAUGGAUCGCUAGGACGACUGGUGAACGAUGAUCACAAAAAUCCAAACUGCAAAGUCAAGACGGUUGUUGUUGAGGGAAAGCCGCACCUGUGUCUAUUUAGUCUAAGAGACAUUUGUCCAGAUGAAGAAAUUACUUACAAUUAUGGGGAUUCCUCUUGGCCCUGGCGUU